This 671-nucleotide ribosomal RNA is filed under the name uncultured bacterium. RNAcentral's name for it is "bacterial SSU rRNA". It matches the Rfam family "Bacterial small subunit ribosomal RNA", at positions 138 to 807 of the family's 1533-position model. The record is from RNAcentral.
GGGGGACAACCCGCCGAAAGGCGGGCUAAACCCGCGUACAUGCCACCGGGGCAUCCCGGAGGCAGGAAAGGCUUCGGCCGGACAGGGAUGGGCAUGCGGCGCAUUAGGCAGUAGGCGGGGUAACGGCCCACCUAACCGACGAUGCGUAGGGGUUCUGAGAGGAAGGUCCCCCACACUGGUACUGAGACACGGACCAGACUCCUACGGGAGGCAGCAGUGAGGAAUAUUGGUCAAUGGUCGGGAGACUGAACCAGCCAAGCCGCGUGAGGGAGGAAGGUACAGAGUAUCGUAAACCUCUUUUGUCAGGGAACAAAGACUGGGACGCGUCCCCGGAUGAGUGUACCUGAAGAAAAAGCAUCGGCUAACUCCGUGCCAGCAGCCGCGGUAAUACGGAGGAUGCGAGCGUUAUCCGGAUUUAUUGGGUUUAAAGGGUGCGCAGGCGGUCUGUUAAGUCAGCGGUCAAAGCCCGGGGCUCAACCCCGGCCCGCCGUUGAAACUGGCAGUCUCGAGUUGGAGAGAAGUAUGCGGAAUGCGCGGUGUAGCGGUGAAAUGCAUAGAUAUCGCGCAGAACUCCGAUUGCGAAGGCAGCAUGCCGGCUCCACACUGACGCUGAGGCACGAAAGCGUGGGUAUCGAACAGGAUUAGAUACCCUGGUAGUCCACGCAGUAAAC